GAUGAACGCUGGCGGCGUGCCUAAUACAUGCAAGUCGAGCGAACAGACGAGAAGCUUGCUUCCCUGAUCUUAGCGGCGGACGGGUGAGUAACACAUGAAUAACCUCCCUAUAAGACUGGGAUAACUUCGGGAAACGGGAACUAAAGCCGGGUGAUAUUUUGAACCUCUUUGUUCAAAAGGGAAAGACGGCAUUGCCGUCACUUAUGGAUCAAUCCGCGCUGCAUUAGCCAGUUGGUAAGGUAACGGCUUACCAAGGCAACAAAGCAUAGCCGACCUGAGAGGGUGAUCGGCCACACUGGGAAUGAGGCUCGAUCCAGACUCCUACGGGAGGCAGCAGUAGAGAAUCUUCCGCAAUGGGCGGAAGCCUGACCGAGCAACGCCGCGUGAGUGAUGAAGAUCUUCGGUUCGUAAAACUCUGUUAUUAGGGAAGAACAUAUGUGUACGUACCUGUGCACAUCUGGACGGUAACUAAUCAGAAAGCCACGGCUACCUACGUG
This 497-nucleotide ribosomal RNA is filed under the name uncultured bacterium. RNAcentral describes it as "partial 16S ribosomal RNA". It matches the Rfam family "Bacterial small subunit ribosomal RNA", at positions 28 to 507 of the family's 1533-position model. The record is from RNAcentral.